Molecule: ribosomal RNA, 806 nt
Filed under: uncultured Bacillota bacterium
Lineage: Bacteria; Bacillati; Bacillota
Description: bacterial SSU rRNA
Rfam family: Bacterial small subunit ribosomal RNA
Source: RNAcentral
UGGAGCAAUCCAUGAGUACAGUGGCGUACGGGUGAGUAACACGUGGAUGAUCUACCUUUUAGUGGGGAAUAACUCUGGGAAACCGGAGAUAAUACCGCAUAAUCCCGAGAGGGGAAAGCAGCAAUGCGCUGAAAGAGGAGUCCGCGGCCGAUUAGCUAGUUGGCAGGGUAAAAGCCUACCAAGGCAACGAUCGGUAGCCGGCCUGAGAGGGCACACGGCCACACUGGCACUGAAACACGGGCCAGACUCCUACGGGAGGCAGCAGUGGGGAAUCUUGCACAAUGGGGGAAACCCUGAUGCAGCGACGCCGCGUGAGCGAUGAAGCCCUUCGGGGUGUAAAGCUCUUUCGGCAGGGAAGAUGAUGACGGUACCUGCAGAAGCAGCUGCGGCUAACUACGUGCCAGCAGCCGCGGUAAUACGUAGGCAGCAAGCGUUGUUCGGAGUUACUGGGCGUAAAGGGUGUGUAGGCGGUUAUUUAAGUUUGGUGUGAAAUCUCCCGGCUCAACCGGGAGGGUGCGCCGAAUACUGAAUGACUUGGAGUGCGGGAGAGGAAAGUGGAAUUCCUGGUGUAGCGGUGAAAUGCGUAGAUAUCAGGAGGAACACCGGUGGUGUAGACGGCUUUCUGGACCGUAACUGACGCUGAGACACGAAAGCGUGGGUAGCAAACAGGAUUAGAUACCCUGGUAGUCCACGCCCUAAACGAUGCAUAUUUGGUGUGGGCAGUUCAUUCUGUCCGUGCCGGAGCUAACGCGUUAAAUAUGCCGCCUGGGGAGUACAGUCGCAGGCUGAAACUCAAAGGAAUUGAC